This 466-nucleotide ribosomal RNA is filed under the name uncultured euryarchaeote. RNAcentral's name for it is "bacterial SSU rRNA". It matches the Rfam family "Archaeal small subunit ribosomal RNA", at positions 340 to 800 of the family's 1478-position model. Lineage: Archaea; Methanobacteriati; Methanobacteriota. The record is from RNAcentral.
CGAGAAAACUUUGCAAUGUGCGAAAGCACGACAAGGUUAAUCCGAGUGGUUUCUGCUAAAGGAACCUUUUGUCGGUCCUAGAAACACCGAUGAAUAAGGGGUGGGCAAGUUCUGGUGUCAGCCGCCGCGGUAAAAACCAGCACCUCAAGUGGUCAGGAUGAUUAUUGGGCCUAAAGCAUCCGUAGCCGGCUCCAUAAGUUUUCGGUUAAAUCUGUACGCUCAACGUACAGGCUGCCGGGAAUACUGUGGAGCUAGGGAGUGGGAGAGGUAGACGGUACUCGGUAGGAAGGGGUAAAAAUCCUUGAUCUAUUGAUGACCACCUGUGGCGAAGGCGGUCUAACCAGAACACGUCCGACGGUGAGGGAUGAAAAGCUGGGGGAGCAAACCGGAUUAGAUACCCGGGUAGUCCCAGCUAGUAAAACUAUGCAAAACUCAAGUGAUGCAUUGGCUUGUGGCCAAUGCAGUG